RNAcentral lists this ribosomal RNA (465 nucleotides) under uncultured bacterium. Its description in RNAcentral is "SSU rRNA". It matches the Rfam family "Bacterial small subunit ribosomal RNA", at positions 26 to 518 of the family's 1533-position model. The record is from RNAcentral.
AGGACGAACGCUGGCGGCGUGCUUAACACAUGCAAGUCACGGGGGCCCGCAAGGGUAACCGGCGAACGGGUGCGUAACACGUGAGCAACCUGCCUAGAUGUGGGGGAUAGCCGGCCCAACGGCCGGGUAAUACCGCAUACGGUCACGAGGAGGAGUCUCCUUGUGAAGAAACCUCCGGGGCAUUUAGAGGGGCUCGCGGCCUAUCAGCUAGUUGGUGGGGUAAUGGCCUACCAAGGCGACGACGGGUAGCUGGUCUGAGAGGACGAUCAGCCACACUGGGACUGAGACACGGCCCAGACUCCUACGGGAGGCAGCAGUAGGGAAUCUUGCGCAAUGGGCGAAAGCCUGACGCAGCAACGCCGCGUGAGGGAUGAAGGCUCUAGGGUUGUAAACCUCUUUCAAGUUGGGGACGAUAAUGACGGUACCCGCAGAAGAAGCUCCGGCCAACUACGUGCCAGCAGCCGC